This 56-nucleotide transfer RNA is filed under the name Bos taurus (domestic cattle). It matches the Rfam family "tRNA", at positions 9 to 63 of the family's 71-position model. From Rfam's summary of the family: Transfer RNA (tRNA) molecules are approximately 80 nucleotides in length. Their secondary structure includes four short double-helical elements and three loops (D, anti-codon, and T loops). Further hydrogen bonds mediate the characteristic L-shaped molecular structure. tRNAs have two regions of fundamental functional importance: the anti-codon, which is responsible for specific mRNA codon recognition, and the 3' end, to which the tRNAs corresponding amino acid is attached (by aminoacyl-tRNA synthetases). tRNAs cope with the degeneracy of the genetic code in two manners: having more than one tRNA (with a specific anti-codon) for a particular amino acid; and 'wobble' base-pairing, i.e. permitting non-standard base-pairing at the 3rd anti-codon position. RNAcentral also lists the same sequence under 3 other names. The record is from Rfam by way of RNAcentral. Lineage: Eukaryota; Metazoa; Chordata; Mammalia; Artiodactyla; Bovidae.
GGCUCAGAGGUUAAAGCAUCUGCCUGCAAUGCAGGAGACCCAGGUUCGAUCCCUGG